This 262-nucleotide ribosomal RNA is filed under the name uncultured bacterium. Its description in RNAcentral is "partial 16S ribosomal RNA". It matches the Rfam family "Bacterial small subunit ribosomal RNA", at positions 515 to 776 of the family's 1533-position model. The record is from RNAcentral.
CCGCGGUAAUACAGAGGGUGCAAGCGUUGCUCGGAUUUACUGGGCGUAAAGCGUACGCAGACGGUGAGAAAGGUCGAAUGUGAAAGCCCCGGGCUCAACCCGGGAAUUGCACUCGAAACUAUUUCGCUAGAGUAUGAGAGAGGGAAGCAGAAUUCCUGGUGUAGAGGUGAAAUUCGUAGAUAUCAGGAGGAAUACCUGCGGCGAAGGCGGCUUCCUGGCUCAUUACUGACGUUCAGGUACGAAAGCGUGGGUAGCAAACAGG